CAAAGCGCAUACUCCUUGCAGUAAAUUAUAUUGGUUAUUCAAAUUUGUUAUUUAUAGCAUCAAAAUUAAAAAGGUUGGAACUAGAAUUUCAGAGUAUCAAAAGAUGGAACAAAUAAAAACUCGCAAGAAUCUACAUCAUCAAGUUUUACAAAUAUGGCCAGAGAAAUGAGAAUGCUAUAUGGAUGUUGAUUCAUUGGUCAAAACAAUGGAAAAACAAGGAGAAAGUUUGCUAAAAAGAAAACAGAUGCUUAAAGCAGAAAGAGAAAAGCUUUCAUUGAAUCCUUUGUUUAAUUAUAUACUUGGCAAGGAUCAUGUUGUGAAGAAAAUUAAUUCCAGCAAAAUUGGUGAUCUCAAAUUCGAACUCGACGGUGUUUUAUUGAUCGUUAUGCUUGUAAACAUUCCAAAUGAUUAUUUUUUGUGAAGCUGUUAAUACUCAGCAAUGUAAAAAAUUUAAUAAAUUUAAUGGGAAAAAAUAAAAAAAAAAAUUAUACAAAUUUA
This is a non-coding RNA of Dermatophagoides farinae (American house dust mite), 498 nucleotides long. The record is from RefSeq and is a predicted model, not a curated record. NCBI's taxonomy places the organism in Eukaryota, Metazoa, Arthropoda, Arachnida, Sarcoptiformes, Pyroglyphidae.